UUUAAGUGAGUAUUACUCUUUGUUCCUUUCAAAAAACGUCACGCCUCCUCCUCCUCCUCCUCUCUUAUCUCUUCUCUCCCCUUUCCCUCACUGCUGAGCCACGAAACCACCAACCAGCAGCCAAGCCGCGGCGGCAACCGGUCUCCCACAACACCACCGGUCUUCCCUCUCUCUUCCCCGUGACGUAGCUGCUUCUUCCCCUUUAAACAGCCACGGCAGCAGCAGCCUAGCUAGGGUGCUGCAUUUGCUGCGCGUGCCGCCAGCCACGGUGGCCAGUUUGGGGUCCUCUCUCCAACCGGUUCGGUCCCGUGCCCCCACUACCGCAACCUUAACUUACCUCUUCCCGUUUUUGCUAGUUUUAACUUUGUUUCCAUUUCAUAAGAGGAAAGUAGAACCUUAGUUGGGUGAAUUUUGUAACUUUUGGUCGUGCAGUGACGCUUACAGGUACGUACACGCAGUAACUAACCCUUAUAUGCAAUUUGCUUUAAGACAUUAUUGUUUAUUGUGAUAAUAUGCAUUGUAUUGAAACUAUGAGGUACUAGUGAGUGCACUUUAUAUGAAGAACUAUCGAUUAUGAAAUCCUUGCGCUUAGAAUAAUUUAGAGAAUAAGAGUGUUAGUAGAAGGCGGGUACCAACCCCUUAUUUAUGUAAGAGUUGGAUAAUGCCUUACUUGGAGUUAGAAUGACUCCUUUAUAGGUGAAUUUCAUAUUUUGUUUGAGUUGCUCAGUGGGUUUCGGCGUUCUGCUAUCCCAGGGCACUCAUUAAUAGUCGAAGGUGGGAGCUACUCCCAUUUGAUAAAGUAUUGGAUUAUGAUUAGCUGACGUGACUAACUGGAUUAUGUCCGGUUGAUUUAAUGGUCCCCUAGGUGAGGUCCAAUAGGAUCACCGUAAGGGGGGUAUGAGCAUGCUUUUGUCACUGGGCGCCGGAUGGCCGAUACCACCCCUUGACCGAGGUGUUACCAUGCAGGCCUUGCAAACCCCAAUAUGGUGGCCUCUUCACUGGUUUAGUACCCCAGUGUGUUAGUUUUUCCCGAAGGUAGGACCCGAGAGGGUCAGCUGGAGGGGGCAUGAGCUCAUACUUUGCCAUGGGUGCCGGAUGACCGAUAACGCCCUUGGUUGCGUCACUAUGCCAGGAAGUAGAGAAAAGAUCCACUGAUAGAAAGUUAUUCAGUGAUAGAAAGUUUAUUCAUUGAUCGAGAGUUAUUUAAUGAUAGAAGAUUCAUUCUUUGAUAGAAAGCUUACACAUUGAUAGAACGUUUACUCAUUGAUAGAAAAUUUACUCAUUGAUAGAAUAGUUUAUGCUAGUGAGAAGUGUGCCUAAGUUAAGUGACCUCAAGGGUAUUACACACUAUGAUCACACUUACCUUAAGAUAGACAAGCUCUAUAAGGUCAUGUGUUAGGUAUUCUGUUAAUGCCUUGGUUGAGUUGAUACUACGCGUGUUUUGCAAGAGUUUAUGUUUUGGGAAGAGGAGUGUGAAGACCUGCAUUCUACUCCAAGAACACAUGGUUCGGGUUGGAAAGAACGUAAUGAGAUUAAGAAGUAAAAGUGGCCGAUAAACGGUUACUAUCUGUGCUUGUGUCUUAUGAAAUCAUCUUAUGUUGUUGUAUAAUAUAAUGUUAUCUAUUAGUUGGCCUUAUUAUAUUUGAUGCUAGUUACUGACGUGUACGUGUUUGUGUUUAUGUUUGAUUGUUUGAUGACUUUGUAUGAUUGUCCUGCUAUGACACAUUGGCCUUUGGUCUGAUGUCGAGAAGCAGGAGGAUCAUAGACAGGCGUGGCAAGUAUUGGAGCUUCUUUUGCAUUACAUUGCAUUGGGGGAGAGUGAUGAGGGCGAAGCAUAACCUGUGUCAUACCGCUAUCUUUUGACUUUGUAGUUCUUAUUUAUCUUUAGUAAACUUUGGUUGUAUACGUUUUGUCAUGAGGCCUUGUGUCAUCCUUUGUAUAUUUUUAUUUCCGCUGCGUAGUUUAUAACUUCGUAUGGUUUUAAAUAAGUCAUCUUAAAACGCAAGCAUCGACACUGGAACCACGAUCCAUGCUUGGCAUGUUGAUUUGAGAAGCCGGCGACGAAUCAUUCCGCCGUGGUGUGAGAUUUUAAAGGCAAUGAUGCCUUAGAUUAGUUUAAUCUUUUUAUUGUGCUAAUUGCUUUACCAUAUGUUCAAUUUUUAGAAGAGAUGCU
Molecule: long non-coding RNA, 2173 nt
Organism: Amaranthus tricolor (Joseph's coat)
Lineage: Eukaryota; Viridiplantae; Streptophyta; Magnoliopsida; Caryophyllales; Amaranthaceae
Exons: 2
Source: RefSeq, a predicted model, not a curated record